CAGUAAGUGGAUUAGAUACCCCAGUAGUCCACGCCGUAAACGAUGAGUACUAGGUGUUGGGGGUAUCGACCCCCUCAGUGCCGAAGCUAACGCGAUAAGUACUCCGCCUGAGGACUACGGCCGCAAGGCUAAAACUCAAAGGAAUUGACGGGGGCCCGCACAAGCAGCGGAGCGUGUGGUUUAAUUCGAUGGUACGCGAAGAACCUUACCCGGAUUUGACAUGCAUGUGGUACCG
RNAcentral lists this ribosomal RNA (235 nucleotides) under uncultured Chloroflexota bacterium. Its description in RNAcentral is "uncultured Chloroflexi bacterium partial 16S ribosomal RNA". It matches the Rfam family "Bacterial small subunit ribosomal RNA", at positions 766 to 1000 of the family's 1533-position model. Lineage: Bacteria; Bacillati; Chloroflexota. The record is from RNAcentral.